CGGUGGUGUGGGUGGGAUUCGCCGAUUCGCUGCCGUGCCGCGAGUCUUGUUUCUUCGACGACGGUGGUGCUUCUCUGAUUAGCACUGACUCUUUCUUCUUCUUAGAUCGGUGGUGGUGCUUCGUCGAGUCUUUCUUCUUCUCGGAUGGUGGUGGUGCUUCAUCGAUUAUCGCCGAGUCUCACUCUUUCAAUACGGUGCGCUGAUUCUUACUUUGCCGGAAGAAGAAAUAUAUGAUGGAUAGAGGACGAUACAGACAGGACGGGACGAGACGGGACGGGUUGGAACGAGACAGGAAGUGACGGGUCGGGACGGGACAGAUGAUGUCUUACUUGCCAAUCAACUACUUGCAAGACAAAAUCCGUCAUUCAUAAGUUACUGGCCUUCAAAUAUUUAGGUGAUGACUUUAACAUGUUUCACCAUAGCUUGUGAAUCCCAAUUGAUAAAUCUGAUGAGAUGGAGACGAGCAAAGGAUGAGAAGAAUGCCACUCGUCUUUGAACACUCUUUUCUUAUAAGCUUUCAUCGAGAGAGACAGGCUUGGUGCAUUGUAGCGGAUAUCAAAGAUGUGGAUCACAGGGUACAGGGUCUGCAGAACCAGAUGAAAUGUGUAAACCAUCAGGAGACCAAGACUAGUUAAUUAGGGCCGACUGCGACUCACUGCUUUAUUGCUUCCACCAAAAAGAAAAUAGUUCUGUCUGAGGCAAUCUUACAUCAUAUAACCGCAGUUUUCGGUCUAGCUCCCUGCAAACAUAACACAAGCAAAGGAAAGAAGAAUUUUGAGGCAAUUGCUUUCUUGGGGUAUAUAUAUCAAGAGUUUGUUUUACCUUGUGUGAACCAUGACAAGUUUAACAUCUCUCGAGUUUGGCAGUAUAUUUGUGCAUCUGUUGUCUAGUCCAUGUUUGAAUGUGACUUUUUCUUCUCGAGCAUCAAACCCAAAAAAUUGUAAGAUGAGCUCAAGCAGAAGAAAUUACCUUAUUCCACAUGGCAAACUGAAGGAGAGAGCGAGCAUCAAGUCCAAAGACUAACAUCAAGCCCAGUCUCUCUGCAAUUAUUUCCCAUCUGAAAAGAGUACAUUCAAAGCAAUUGUAAUAAUGGAAAUGAUCAUAAUUGGUAAGGCAAAUGUGUUUCCUCAA
Molecule: long non-coding RNA, 1131 nt
Organism: Capsella rubella
Lineage: Eukaryota; Viridiplantae; Streptophyta; Magnoliopsida; Brassicales; Brassicaceae
Exons: 3
Source: RefSeq, a predicted model, not a curated record